CUUGCUUCUCUGACGUUAGCGGCGGACGGGUGAGUAACACGUGGAUAACCUACCUAUAAGACUGGGAUAACUUCGGGAAACCGGAGCUAAUACCGGAUAAUAUAUUGAACCGCAUGGUUCAAUAGUGAAAGACGGUUUUGCUGUCACUUAUAGAUGGAUCCGCGCCGCAUUAGCUAGUUGGUAAGGUAACGGCUUACCAAGGCAACGAUGCGUAGCCGACCUGAGAGGGUGAUCGGCCACACUGGAACUGAGACACGGUCCAGACUCCUACGGGAGGCAGCAGUAGGGAAUCUUCCGCAAUGGGCGAAAGCCUGACGGAGCAACGCCGCGUGAGUGAUGAAGGUCUUCGGAUCGUAAAACUCUGUUAUUAGGGAAGAACAAAUGUGUAAGUAACUAUGCACGUCUUGACGGUACCUAAUCAGAAAGCCACGGCUAACUACGUGCCAGCAGCCGCGGUAAUACGUAGGUGGCAAGCGUUAUCCGGAAUUAUUGGGCGUAAAGCGCGCGUAGGCGGUUUUUUAAGUCUGAUGUGAAAGCCCACGGCUCAACCGUGGAGGGUCAUUGGAAACUGGAAAACUUGAGUGCAGAAGAGGAAAGUGGAAUUCCAUGUGUAGCGGUGGAAUGCGCAGAGAUAUGGAGGAACACCAGUGGCGAAGGCGACUUUCUGGUCUGUAACUGACGCUGAUGUGCGAAAGCGUGGGGAUCAAAC
RNAcentral lists this ribosomal RNA (709 nucleotides) under uncultured Staphylococcus sp. RNAcentral's name for it is "bacterial SSU rRNA". It matches the Rfam family "Bacterial small subunit ribosomal RNA", at positions 79 to 773 of the family's 1533-position model. The record is from RNAcentral. Lineage: Bacteria; Bacillati; Bacillota; Bacilli; Caryophanales; Staphylococcaceae.